CCCGCUGAACUUAAGCAUAUCAAUAAGCGGAGGAAAAGAAACUAACAAGGAUUCCCCUAGUAACGGCGAGUGAAGAGGGAAGAGCUCAAAUUUUGAAUCUGGCACCUUUGGUGUCCGAAUUGUAAUCUAGAGAAGUGUUUUCUGUGAUGGACCAUGCAUAAGUCUCCUGGAAUGGAGCGUCAUAGAGGGUGAGAAUCCCGUAUAUGGCAUGGACUCCCGUUGCUCUGUGAUACACUCUCGACGAGUCGAGUUGUUUGGGAAUGCAGCUCCAAAUGGGUGGUAAAUGCCAUCUAAAGCUAAGUAUUGGCGAGAGACCGAUAGUGAACAAGUACCGUGAGGGAAAGAUGAAAAGCACUUUGGAAAGAGAGUGAAACAGUACGUGAAAUUGUUGAAAGGGAAACGCUUAAAGUCAGUCACACCGUUCGGGAUUCAGCCUUGCUUCUGCUCGGUUUACUUCCUGUUGGGUGGGUCAACAUCAGUUUUGGUCAAAGGAGAAAUGCUUGGGGAAUGUAGCAGCAUUCGUGCUGUGUUAUAGCCCCUUGUUGUAUACUUUGACUGGGACUGAGGACCGCAGCACGCCUUUGGCCGGGGUUCGCCCACGUACGCGCUUAGGAUGUUGGCAUAAUGGUUUUAAGCGACCCGUCUUGAAACACGG
This 655-nucleotide ribosomal RNA is filed under the name uncultured fungus. RNAcentral's name for it is "eukaryotic LSU rRNA". It matches the Rfam family "Eukaryotic large subunit ribosomal RNA", at positions 24 to 664 of the family's 3401-position model. Lineage: Eukaryota; Fungi. The record is from RNAcentral.